CCCUGGUACGAGGACCCGCCGCCGCCGGGGCAGGACGCUGCAGACACGGGGGCCAAGAGGGACGGCAUGCAGGACGAGAAGCCGGCGUCGUCAAAGCCAGAGUCGAAGAAACCUAGCAAGGAGAGCAAGCCAGAAGAGAACGUGGCCGCAUACAAGCGAAUCGGACCUGCGAACGGAUUGCAGCGACGCAACGCACAGACGGAUCUGUUGUUGCCGUCGAUCGUGACAAUCCCAUGCAAGACGGAGCAGUGCCGCUGUGACCUCAAACACAAAUGAAACU
Long non-coding RNA from Manduca sexta (tobacco hornworm), 280 nucleotides. RefSeq lists it as uncharacterized. The transcript has 3 exons. Lineage: Eukaryota; Metazoa; Arthropoda; Insecta; Lepidoptera; Sphingidae. The record is from RefSeq and is a predicted model, not a curated record.